GAUGAACGCUGGCGGCGUGCCUAAUACAUGCAAGUCGAGCGAACGGACGAGAAGCUUGCUUCUCUGAUGUUAGCGGCGGACGGGUGAGUAACACGUGGAUAACCUACCUAUAAGACUGGGAUAACUUCGGGAAACCGGAGCUAAUACCGGAUAAUAUUUUGAACCGCAUGGUUCAAAAGUGAAAGACGGUCUUGCUGUCACUUAUAGAUGGAUCCGCGCUGCAUUAGCUAGUUGGUAAGGUAACGGCUUACCAAGGCAACGAUGCAUAGCCGACCUGAGAGGGUGAUCGGCCACACUGGAACUGAGACACGGUCCAGACUCCUACGGGAGGCAGCAGUAGGGAAUCUUCCGCAAUGGGCGAAAGCCUGACGGAGCAACGCCGCGUGAGUGAUGAAGGUCUUCGGAUCGUAAAACUCUGUUAUUAGGGAAGAACAUAUGUGUAAGUAACUGUGCACAUCUUGACGGUACCUAAUCAGAAAGCCACGGCUAACUACGUGCCAGCAGCCGCGGUAAUACGUAGGUGGCAAGCGUUAUCCGGAAUUAUUGGGCGUAAAGCGCGCGUAGGCGGUUUUUUAAGUCUGAUGUGAAAGCCCACGGCUCAACCGUGGAGGGUCAUUGGAAACUGGAAAACUUGAGUGCAGAAGAGGAAAGUGGAAUUCCAUGUGUAGCGGUGAAAUGCGCAGAGAUAUGGAGGAACACCAGUGGCGAAGGCGACUUUCUGGUCUGUAACUGACGCUGAUGUGCGAAAGCGUGGGGAUCAAACAGGAUUAGAUACCCUGGUAGUCCACGCCGUAAACGAUGAGUGCUAAGUGUUAGGGGGUUUCCGCCCCUUAGUGCUGCAGCUAACGCAUUAAGCACUCCGCCUGGGGAGUACGACCGCAAGGUUGAAACUCAAAGGAAUUGACGGGGACCCGCACAAGCGGUGGAGCAUGUGGUUUAAUUCGAAGCAACGCGAAGAACCUUACCAAAUCUUGACAUCCUUUGACAACUCUAGAGAUAGAGCCUUCCCCUUCGGGGGACAAAGUGGCAGGUGGUGCAUGGUUGUCGUCAGCUCGUGUCGUGAGAUGUUGGGUUGAGUCCCGCAACGAGCGCAACCCUUAAGCUUAGUUGCCAUCAUUAAGUUGGGCACUCUAAGUUGACUGCCGGUGACAAACCGGAGGAAGGUGGGGAUGACGUCAAAUCAUCAUGCCCCUUAUGAUUUGGGCUACACACGUGCUACAAUGGACAAUACAAAGGGCAGCGAAACCGCGAGGUCAAGCAAAUCCCAUAAAGUUGUUCUCAGUUCGGAUUGUAGUCUGCAACUCGACUACAUGAAGCUGGAAUCGCUAGUAAUCGUAGAUCAGCAUGCUACGGUGAAUACGUUCCCGGGUCU
RNAcentral lists this ribosomal RNA (1372 nucleotides) under uncultured bacterium. RNAcentral's name for it is "bacterial SSU rRNA". It matches the Rfam family "Bacterial small subunit ribosomal RNA", at positions 28 to 1381 of the family's 1533-position model. The record is from RNAcentral.